AGGGUUUGAUCAUGGCUCAGAACGUACGCUGGCGGCACGCCUAACACAUGCAAGUCGAACGAAGUAGCAAUACUUAGUGGCAGACGGGUGAGUAACAUGUAGGUAUCUACCCUUUGGCCUGGAAUAACACGAGGAAACUUGUGCUAAUACCGGAUAAGUCUUUACGGAGAAAGCUUUAUGCACCAUUGGAUGAGCCUGCACUUGAUUAGUUUGUUGGUGGGGUAAUGGCUUACCAAGACUUUGAUCAAUAGCUGAUUUGAGAGGAUGAUCAGCCACAUUGGGACUGAGACACGGCCCAAACUCCUACGGGAGGCAGCAGUGGGGAAUCUUGCACAAUGGAGGAAACUCUGAUGCAGCGAUGCCGCGUGAGUGAAGAAGGCCUUUGGGUUGUAAAGCUCUUUCGUCGGGGAAGAAAAUGACUGUACCCGAAUAAGAAGGUCCGGCUAACUUCGUGCCAGCAGCCGCGGUAAUACGAAGGGACCUAGCGUAGUUCGGAAUUACUGGGCUUAAAGAGUUCGUAGGUGGUUGAAAAAGUUGGUGGUGAAAUCCCAGAGCUUAACUCUGGAACUGCCAUCAAAACUUUUCAGCUAGAGUUUGAUAGAGGAAAGCAGAAUUUCUAGUGUAGAGGUGAAAUUCGUAGAUAUUAGAAAGAAUACCAAUUGCGAAGGCAGCUUUCUGGAUCAUUACUGACACUGAGGAACGAAAGCAUGGGUAGCGAAGAGGAUUAGAUACCCUCGUAGUCCAUGCCGUAAACGAUGUGUGUUAGACGUUGGAAAUUUAUUUUCAGUGUCGCAGCGAAAGCGAUAAACACACCGCCUGGGGAGUACGACCGCAAGGUUAAAACUCAAAUGAAUUGACGGGGACCCGCACAAGUAGUGGAGCAUGUGGUUUAAUUCGAAGAUACGCGCAGAACCUUACCAACACUUGACAUGUUCGUCGCGACUUUAAGAGAUUAAAGUUUUCGGUUCGGCCGGACGAAACACAGGUGCUGCAUGGCUGUCGUCAGCUCGUGUCGUGAGAUGUUGGGUUAAGUCCCGCAACGAGCGCAACCCUCACUUUUAGUUGCCAUCAUUAAGUUGGGCACUCUGAAAGAACUGCCAGUGAUAAGCUGGAGGAAGGUGGGGAUGACGUCAAGUCCUCAUGGCCCUUACGUGUUGGGCUACACACGUGCUACAAUGGUAUCUACAACAGGAAGCAAGACGGCGACGUCAAGCAAAUCCUUAAAAGAUACCUCAGUUCGGAUUGCACUCUGCAACUCGAGUGCAUGAAGCUGGAAUUACUAGUAAUCGUGGAUCAGCGUGCCACGGUGAAUGCGUUCCCGGGUCUUGUACACACCGCCCGUCACACCAUGGGAGUUGGUUCUACCCGAAGGCGAUGUGCUAACUUCGGAGGCAGUCGACCACGGUAAGGUCAGCGACUGGGGUGAAGUCGUAACAAGGUAACCGUA
RNAcentral lists this ribosomal RNA (1447 nucleotides) under uncultured bacterium. Its description in RNAcentral is "bacterial SSU rRNA". It matches the Rfam family "Bacterial small subunit ribosomal RNA". The record is from RNAcentral.